RNAcentral lists this transfer RNA (73 nucleotides) under Sus scrofa (pig). It matches the Rfam family "tRNA". Rfam says of the family: Transfer RNA (tRNA) molecules are approximately 80 nucleotides in length. Their secondary structure includes four short double-helical elements and three loops (D, anti-codon, and T loops). The record is from Rfam by way of RNAcentral. Lineage: Eukaryota; Metazoa; Chordata; Mammalia; Artiodactyla; Suidae.
UCCCUGGUGGCCUAGUGGUUAAGGACUCAGCAUUGUCACUGCUAUGGUUUGAGUUCAAUCCCUGGCCUGGGAA